This 163-nucleotide small nuclear RNA is filed under the name Monopterus albus (swamp eel). Its description in RNAcentral is "U1 spliceosomal RNA (ENSMALG00000012253.1)". It matches the Rfam family "U1 spliceosomal RNA". Rfam says of the family: U1 is a small nuclear RNA (snRNA) component of the spliceosome (involved in pre-mRNA splicing). Its 5' end forms complementary base pairs with the 5' splice junction, thus defining the 5' donor site of an intron. The record is from RNAcentral. Lineage: Eukaryota; Metazoa; Chordata; Actinopteri; Synbranchiformes; Synbranchidae.
AUACUUACAGUACCUGGCAGGGGAGAUACCAUGAUCAAGAAGGUGGUUCACCCAGAGUGAGGCUCAACCAUUGCAGAUGUCUGACCCUUGCGAAUUCCCCAAAUGUGGGAAUCUUGACUACAUAACUUCUGGUAGUGGGGGACUGUGUUCGCACUCUGCCUUG